ACAGUACUUUUUCCGUUCCAAAUUACUUGUCUUAAAUUUAUCUAAAUAUAGACAUAUCUAGAAUCAUUUUAAUGCUAAAUACCUCUGUAUUUAAACAAAUUUAAGAUAAGUAAUUCGAAACGGAAGGAGUAUAUC
Triticum aestivum (bread wheat) is the source of this 135-nucleotide non-coding RNA. The record is from Rfam. NCBI's taxonomy places the organism in Eukaryota, Viridiplantae, Streptophyta, Magnoliopsida, Poales, Poaceae.